RNAcentral lists this ribosomal RNA (487 nucleotides) under uncultured bacterium. RNAcentral's name for it is "bacterial SSU rRNA". It matches the Rfam family "Bacterial small subunit ribosomal RNA", at positions 501 to 987 of the family's 1533-position model. The record is from RNAcentral.
CUACGUGCCAGCAGCCGCGGUAAUACGUAGGGUGCGAGCGUUAAUCGGAAUUACUGGGCGUAAAGCGGGCGCAGACGGUUACUUAAGCAGGAUGUGAAAUCCCCGGGCUUAACCUGGGAACUGCGUUCUGAACUGGGUGACUAGAGUGUGUCAGAGGGAGGUAGAAUUCCACGUGUAGCAGUGAAAUGCGUAGAGAUGUGGAGGAAUACCGAUGGCGAAGGCAGCCUCCUGGGAUAACACUGACGUUCAUGCUCGAAAGCGUGGGUAGCAAACAGGAUUAGAUACCCUGGUAGUCCACGCCCUAAACGAUGUCAAUUAGCUGUUGGGCAACUUGAUUGCUUAGUAGCGUAGCUAACGCGUGAAAUUGACCACCUGGGGAGUACGGUCGCAAGAUUAAAACUCAAAGGAAUUGACGGGGACCCGCACAAGCGGUGGAUGAUGUGGAUUAAUUCGAUGCAACGCGAAGAACCUUACCUGGUCUUGACAU